GACAGAACCAACUCUCUCGUUAGCUUGACUUAUCCUAAACAUCACGUGGCUUGACUUAUUUUUUUUUCUUCUCCAACGACUCCGAUUGAGAAAACCCUAACAUCCCCUUUGUUUCCAAUCGACGACCAUUACAAUCACUCUGGUUUCGCCUCUGCUACUCUCUAUUUCUAUACGACAGAACCAGCCAUAAGCUCUCUUGCGGCUAUCUAAUCCCUAAGUUCAGGACUCUCCGCCGAUUUGAAGAAACUCUAACUUGGGCAACUACUCUCCUCCUCUUUCUUGUUGAGGUCACCGUGGAAUCACCACUCUCCGUGAUUUGAAGAUAAAGAUGAGUUUUGAAGACAAAGAAAUGCUAGAAAGAAUACACAAUUGUUUUCUCCUCAAAGUUGAUCUAUGAUCUCCGAGAAUCAGACAUGGUGGGGACAGGAGGAGAAUGAGAGGUUCGCAUGUUUCUUGCCGCCGACUCCGAGAUUGUGUAGAAUGCACGAUGGCUACUUUAAUGUCUUUAUCUCCCUUUUCGGCAACGACGGCGAGCAAUUGGAUCUUUUCGACGAUGACAAAGAUCUGGACAAGUACUAUGGUUUCGUUAUCAGUGCUAGCCCACAUGAUACCUUCACAGACGCUGAUUGGAUCUUCAAGCUUGCUAGCUAGUUUAUUUGAAGAAGAAGGUUCUUGGCAUCUGUUUCUACGACCAGCUGCUGUGUGGAUAGGGAGUAUGUGAUCUGGGAUUUCAAAAUUAAGGGCAUUGCAAAGGAGCUUUGAGAUGAGUGUACUACUGCAAUCACUAGUGGCUAAGAAUGAGUCUAAGCUUGAGGGGCUCAAGUAAUCAACACUGUGGUGGUAGUAGUGGUGAUGUUUUCUUUGCUCUCUCUGAGGUAAAGUUUGAUGCUUUUUGAUUAUUAUGAUUACUAGAUUCUUUCUCCGCACUACGCACGGAAAAGUGUGUUGAUCGUUUAUUUUUCGAUAAUAUGUGUCAAUGUUUGUGUUUGGAAUAAGGGUGUUGUAUUUGUCAAAGCAAUGAGAAAGUCGAUGAAUUAUUUAAGGGUGCUCAACCCGGUAAAUCUUUUCAAUUUAAAACUGGAGGUAACAAUUUAAAAAAAAAUCUUUGUAAUGUAAUUUUUAUAUUCAGAAGUUUCUUUUCUAUUGAUUUUUUAAAAAUAAUUGUUACAAUUUUUUUAUGGGCAAAUCUCUAAAAUAGCACUUUAAUUAAACGAAGGUGCUCUGAUUCUCUGCAUCACCAGGUCUUCUUCCAACCUUCACCUGUGAGAUUUUCUGUACAUAUGAUUUUAGACAAUUAAGUCCAAAAGAGAUGUAAAAGAGCUCUGAUUCUCUGAUUCUCUUCUUCCAACCUUCACCUGUGGGAUUUUUUUUUCGUUUUUGUUAUAGUUUUCUCAGACAUUUAGUUUUGAAAACAGGUAUCAGACUGAGCAAGAACUUGGCACUGAAAUCAAACCAAUUCCUUCGCAGAUCGAUCAAGCAAUCUACUGCCAGUAAACUUGUAACCACACGAGAAAAUGUUACCACCCGACGAGUCACAGUGUUGAUGAAAAUGGUGUUUCUCAAGCUAGGAGGUGAUGAGGCAACUGAUACUUGGCGGUUUAUGUACAAUACAAUUCGUUACAGAUACGAACCUGAGCGGUUUGGUUUAUAAUCUUUCUCUAUACUUUGUUUCGUGUUUUACUGAAAUAUGUUGUUAACGUUGCACAUUUAUCUUUGACUUGGCAGUCAAGUAAUAAAGACAAAAUAAGUAAGACU
Long non-coding RNA from Raphanus sativus (radish), 1755 nucleotides. RefSeq lists it as uncharacterized. The record is from RefSeq and is a predicted model, not a curated record. Lineage: Eukaryota; Viridiplantae; Streptophyta; Magnoliopsida; Brassicales; Brassicaceae. The transcript is spliced from 4 exons.